ACGAGGGUGACAGGUGGUGCAUGGUUGUCGUCAGCUCGUGUCGUGAGAUGUUCGGGUUAAGUCCCGCAACGAGCGCAACCCUUGUCUUUAGUUGCCAUCAUUCAGUUGGGCACUCUAAAGAGACUGCCGGUGUCAAACCGGAGGAAGGUGGGGAUGACGUCAAGUCCUCAUGGCCUUUAUGACCAGGGCCACACACGUACUACAAUGGCCGGUACAAAGGGCAGCCACUUAGCGAUAAGGAGCCAAUCCCGUAAAGCCGGUCUCAGUCCGGAUUGGAGUCUGCAACUCGACUUCGUGAAGCUGGAUUCGCUAGUAAUCGCGCAUCAGCCAUGGCGCGGUGAAUACGUUCCCGGGCCUU
RNAcentral lists this ribosomal RNA (358 nucleotides) under uncultured Desulfocapsa sp. RNAcentral's name for it is "bacterial SSU rRNA". It matches the Rfam family "Bacterial small subunit ribosomal RNA", at positions 1025 to 1382 of the family's 1533-position model. The record is from RNAcentral. Lineage: Bacteria; Pseudomonadati; Thermodesulfobacteriota; Desulfobulbia; Desulfobulbales; Desulfocapsaceae.